CUCAGUGGUAUUGUAUGCCAAAAAUUAUAAAUUAAAACAAAUAUAAACUAUGCCCUGACACGAAGGCGGUUUUAAGUUUUAGUGUAUAAUUUACUAAAAUAUAUAUGUAAUUGUUCACAAGCGCAUGGGCGGUUUUAAGUCAAGGCGCUUGGACACUAUUAUGUGUAUAUUCAGUACGCAUUGAGCAAGUAAUCAUACGAAGAUACAAACCACGGAACCAGAUUAGAGAUCACCGAGCUCCAAAGGAACAACCUCCAGAUACAGCAGAAUACCAGAAAAUAAUCUCAAGUUUCUCAAGUUUAAUCACGUUUAAUGAAUUUAUUUGUUUUUUUAAAAUACUUUAAAAUACAACAUUCUGUGGUCUGACAUCGACGAGUUAGAAAGAUACUCGCCCCGUUUGUUGGUGUUAGUGCUCCCCCAUACCUCGUUAUGUGCAUUGGCAUCGCAACCGAGUGUAAGCGGUAGUGUUUUUUUCUUACACUAGUCCUGUGAAGCAAAAUUUUAUAACACUUUUCUUCUUAAAAUAUAUAUUGAAGUAAUAGAAAAAUUUAAUAAAGCUAAACAAAAUUUCACUCACAUAUUAGGAA
Teleopsis dalmanni is the source of this 587-nucleotide long non-coding RNA. RefSeq lists it as uncharacterized. Lineage: Eukaryota; Metazoa; Arthropoda; Insecta; Diptera; Diopsidae. The record is from RefSeq and is a predicted model, not a curated record. The transcript is spliced from 3 exons.